CCCUGGUUAGCUCAGUUGGUAGAGCGCUCCACCUGUAAUGGUGAGGUCCCGGGUUCGAUACCCGGACAAGGCG
Non-coding RNA from Ixodes scapularis (black-legged tick), 73 nucleotides. Lineage: Eukaryota; Metazoa; Arthropoda; Arachnida; Ixodida; Ixodidae. The record is from Rfam.